RNAcentral lists this ribosomal RNA (253 nucleotides) under uncultured bacterium. RNAcentral describes it as "partial 16S ribosomal RNA". It matches the Rfam family "Bacterial small subunit ribosomal RNA", at positions 524 to 776 of the family's 1533-position model. The record is from RNAcentral.
GACAGAGGCCACAAGCGUUAGGCGGAAUCACUGGGCUUAAAGCGUGUGUAGGCGGACCGUUAAGUGUCCUGUGAAAUCCCCCGGCUCAACCGGGGAACGGCAGGGCAAACUGGCGGUCUUGAGCUGCCCAGGGGCGACUGGAACAAGCGGUGGAGCGGUGAAAUGCGUAGAUAUCGCUUGGAACGCCAAAGGUGAAAACAGGUCGCUGGGGGCAAGCUGACGCUGAGACACGAAAGCCAGGGGAGCAAACGGG